UGUUGUCAUGUGGUUUUUAGUUGGCAGAAGUAGCCUAACUUAGAAAGUAACUGGUGUCACCAUGAACAAUGUGGGUUAUCUUCUACAACACACAUUUACCGUAAAACCAUUUGACUUAAAAUUUGAGAGUAGAGAACACCUCGGUGCCCACCAGCCGCGAGAUAUUAUAAACAAAACCUCUGGUAGUGGUUCUCCAGGAAAAAAUGGCUAACUGCUAGCUUAUACGCUAAUUUUGUUUCCCGUGUGUGUUGUUCGGAAGGGAAUCUGAGAGGAUUACUAUACCUGAAAGCAGCAGGACAGCUCGGUAAAAUUGGGCAAACAUAACGUUAACCCAAACUGACAGCCCAUUCAUAGGAGGAGUUGUAACGUUAUAACAACAAACCGGAGAACCAGGAUCCACUUUUAUUGUCUCGACAUUGUGCUGAUACAUUGAAUCGUCCUGAAGAACUUGACGCUAUUUCAGGAAGGAGAACAUUUAAUUGGACAUGUUGAGUAAUAUAAAAAGUUUUUUUGAUAUUUCCAAAUGUAACUUGAAUCCUAUAGUCUACUACUUUCCAAUACCAAUAGUCAAGAAUCUUGAUAUAAGCCAAACUAGAAUCCAUGUCACCAAAAAUCAAAGUACUUCAGGUAGGUUUUUUCGCCUACAGUGGUCUUGAUAUUCUGUAGUUUUUCUUCUCUUUUUUGCAGUAAAGUUCUUGAAGCUGUGGGAACAGUCUCUUGAAGCCAUGCCUGUUUUUGUAACAGUCCCAGUAAAUGGAUUCUCAGGAGUCUGAAGAUGUGUGUAUUUAUGUGUGUGUAUUGGUUGAGGAAAACGGUGAAACACCUCACUUCCUCUCUCCUCCACCACCUUUUCAUGGUCUCAGUCUGUGAUGCUGUCAGACGCUGGUGAUGGAGGCCAGGCAGUUCGAUGACUUCUGGAGUUUCUCAGGCUGUGUGGUGGGGGGUUCUGGGAUGGCGCGAAAGCUGAAUGGCAGUCCGAUACUGCUGGUGCCGAUGUGGCCGGGGCUCAGCGCUGGAUUCUGCCGUCUAUUGCUUUCCACUAUGCUGGAUGUGUUGGAUGCAAGGCUUUCACGCGUCCUGUACAAGAGACAACAGAAAGUCACGUGUUUGCUUUUUAAAUACAUUAAAUCUUAUAUUGGGUAACGUAUAAGUGAUGCUUGUCAAGAAAGAGGAAUACCAAUCAAAUGGAUUGCAAUUGUUUUAAAGUCUAUUUUGCAGACUGAAGAAAAAUGCAGAUACAUUGUAGAUUCUGAGAAUAAUAAGAGCAAAUUGC
Sander lucioperca (pikeperch) is the source of this 1273-nucleotide long non-coding RNA. RefSeq lists it as uncharacterized. The record is from RefSeq and is a predicted model, not a curated record. The transcript is spliced from 2 exons. NCBI's taxonomy places the organism in Eukaryota, Metazoa, Chordata, Actinopteri, Perciformes, Percidae.